RNAcentral lists this ribosomal RNA (253 nucleotides) under uncultured bacterium. RNAcentral's name for it is "partial 16S ribosomal RNA". It matches the Rfam family "Bacterial small subunit ribosomal RNA", at positions 524 to 776 of the family's 1533-position model. The record is from RNAcentral.
UACAGAGGUCCCAAGCGUUGUUCGGAUUUACUGGGCGUAAAGGGAGCGUAGGUGGCAUUCUAAGUCUGAUGUGAAAGCUCUGAGCUUAACUCAGAAAUGGCAUUAGAAACUAGCCUGCUAGAGGAUUGGAGGGGAGAUUGGAAUACUUGGUGUAGCAGUGAAAUGCGUAGAUAUCAAGUGGAACACCAGUGGCGAAGGCGAAUCUCUGGACAAUUCCUGACACUGAUGCUCGAAAGCUAAGGGAGCAAACGGG